This is a non-coding RNA of Pocillopora verrucosa, 1028 nucleotides long. Lineage: Eukaryota; Metazoa; Cnidaria; Anthozoa; Scleractinia; Pocilloporidae. The record is from RefSeq and is a predicted model, not a curated record.
CGAAGAGCCAUUCGGCUUCGAAAGUCGUCCAGUGAACUCGAUCGAUGCUUUUGGCUACCUGCAGGCCAUGUUCGCCUUCCUGCUACGAAAAAUGCAAGCACAAGAUGGCCAAUAAGACGGUUGUGACGUUUUUUAGGGCAGGACAGGAGGUGUCUGAGCAGGAACUAUGAGACGCUUCCCUUUGUCGUAAGGACGUGCUGUAGUGGACAGUCCUCUCCUAGAACUCACAAGGAAAGACAAUAUUUGGAUUGUUCGUGGAUAGUAGCGAUGAGUUUCCCACGUCGUCGCACUUGACGUCUUGUGUUGAUGGAAGAGCUUCAGGAUCUACUACUGUGUGAAAUAAAGCGUAUUGCGGUGCUGAAAUCAUACGAUACGGACCCGUAUUCUUCGAGAAUACGGACAUACCCGGACGUACCGUGUUCCAAGACACGCGACGUGUCCACCGAGUGUCAGGAACUUUAUUCGUUCCGAUUCGGACUUAACCCGUGGUAUGGAAAAUCCGAUGUCAGGAUACCUCAUUGAAACGCGGCGUGUGGAGACCCGGAAAUUUCCUUAUACUUUCAGAUUUGCCGCAAAUAAUGGCGUACCGUAUACGAGCGCGCGGUCAGUAAAAUUGCGUCUUUUUUUCGUGUCUUUCUUAAAAAUUGUCUUUUCCACUUUGAGAACAGUUUCACUGGGUAUUCUUGUCCCGAAAUUCCACGGUACUAGACGAAUCGAUCUGCACUCUGGAACCCGAUUUUCCUCAUUUUUUCCCACGAUACGACGAGAAUCGCGUAGUAUUCAAGAACCCGAAAUUCCACGGUACUAGACAAAUUGGUCUGUAUUCUAGAUUUUGAUAUUCCACGGUACGAGAAAUUUCACUCGGAAUUCUUGAUCCACACAUACUAUCAGGUUUUCUUGGAAAAGCAACGAAUUCUCCCGAUAAUUUUGCACCCUCUUACUAGUGUGUUCUUUCACAGAAGUACCUUGUGCCUUGAUUACCUUGGAUUCCCCUUCCCUACCAACGAUUUAUAAACACAUAUUUCACA